UACAACUUUCGGCAAGGAAUUCUUUGCUUCUGGCAUCAAUAAAAAACGCACCGAAAUGCAAUAAGUAAUGUGAAUUGCAAACCCCCAGUGAAUCAUCAAAUCUUUGAACGCACCUGGCGCUCCUUAUAAUUCUGAGGAGCAUGCCUGUUUGAGUGUCAUUA
RNAcentral lists this ribosomal RNA (161 nucleotides) under Termitomyces bulborhizus. RNAcentral's name for it is "5.8S ribosomal RNA". It matches the Rfam family "5.8S ribosomal RNA". Rfam says of the family: 5.8S ribosomal RNA (5.8S rRNA) is a component of the large subunit of the eukaryotic ribosome. The record is from RNAcentral. Lineage: Eukaryota; Fungi; Basidiomycota; Agaricomycetes; Agaricales; Lyophyllaceae.